AUUGGGUUGGCAACUAAGUGAUUGCGGACAAUAUCAUUAGGUGGUAAUGACAAAAUCCGCAAUCACUUAGUCGCCAUGCCUCGAUGGUCAACGAAACGAAUGAAACGAAGAGUAGUCGUGGAGGACGGACGCUGUAAGUGGCAGAAUCGAAGGAUUUCGAUGGUUCUAUCGUCAACCCAAUAAUAUCUUCGAUAAUCCGUAAGCAUCGUCCAACGUGUACCCACGCGGUUGAAAGUCUACAAAGUGAAAAACUUGGUGACGAUUGCGAGUCACAGACUGGGAGUCAGUGAAUCGAUUGAAGAGAAGAGGAGGGAGGUGUAUCGAUAUCGGGGGAAACCAUAAGUCGAGCGAGAAAACGAGAAGCUCCAUCGGGUCUUUUUUACCCCUCCAAUUCGCCUCACGCGCCCUUUAGUCACGUGUGGCCGUGGAACAAGAAAGAAAAAAGGAAGAAAGGAGACGUUUUAAUAAUAGUAAUAAACGACACCAGAGAUAGGGUGGCUCUCGGUUUCCUUCUUCGCUGCGAGAUCGAUGACCGUUUCGUGGGACAUCGUAAAUUUAUGUGCGGCCAUAGGGGAAUCCCUGGUGAACGUGCACUUUUCAAGCCAAAUAAGCAGUCAUCAGAAUGCAGAGAGCUAACUUGUCGCCUUCGAGGAGACAUGGAUGAACCGCUAAAAUAUCGUGUUGAUAGCGAGAGACGAAGGUAAAACGAAGUGCAGGAGCAGACUCGUUCAUCGCCUGGAGUUGCUGCUCGAAUCGAGGCUCGAUUUCUCGUCGACGGGAGAAGAGUGUGGCGUUCCUCGUUGCUGGCACAG
This 812-nucleotide unclassified non-coding RNA is filed under the name Bombus terrestris (buff-tailed bumblebee). RNAcentral's name for it is "misc RNA ENSBTSG00005022272.1". The record is from RNAcentral. Lineage: Eukaryota; Metazoa; Arthropoda; Insecta; Hymenoptera; Apidae.